This 366-nucleotide ribosomal RNA is filed under the name Aulacophora lewisii. Its description in RNAcentral is "partial 16S ribosomal RNA". The record is from RNAcentral. Lineage: Eukaryota; Metazoa; Arthropoda; Insecta; Coleoptera; Chrysomelidae.
UUAAAUGGCCGCGAUAUUUUGAUCGUGCUAAGGUAGCAUAAUCAUUAGUUUUUUAAUUGAAAGCUAGAAUGAAGGGUUGGAUGAAAAAAUAGCUUUUUUAUUUUAAUUUUAUUAAAAUUUUAUUUUUAAGUUAAAAAGCUUAAAUAUUUUUAAAAGACGAGAAGACCCUAUAGAGUUUAAUAUAUAUUUUAAAAUAUUUUUUUAGAAUUAAUAUUUUAAUUUUAAAUAUUUAUUUAAUUGGGGUGAUUAAAAAAUUUAAUUAACUUUUUUUUUAUUUUUAUAUAAAUUUAUAAAUAUAUGAUCCAUUUUUAAGGAUUAUAAGAAAAAAUUACCUUAGGGAUAACAGCGUAAUUUUAUUAGAAAGUU